RNAcentral lists this ribosomal RNA (378 nucleotides) under Microbacterium sp. MCA2.54. Its description in RNAcentral is "bacterial SSU rRNA". It matches the Rfam family "Bacterial small subunit ribosomal RNA", at positions 56 to 437 of the family's 1533-position model. Lineage: Bacteria; Bacillati; Actinomycetota; Actinomycetes; Micrococcales; Microbacteriaceae. The record is from RNAcentral.
UGCAGUCGACGGUGAGCAGAGCUUGCUCUGUGGAUCAGUGGCGAACGGGUGAGUAACACGUGAGCAAUCUGCCCCUGACUCUGGGAUAAGCGCUGGAAACGGCGUCUAAUACCGGAUACGAGCUGCGACCGCAUGGUCAGUAGCUGGAAAGAAUUUCGGUCAGGGAUGAGCUCGCGGCCUAUCAGCUUGUUGGUGAGGUAAUGGCUCACCAAGGCGUCGACGGGUAGCCGGCCUGAGAGGGUGACCGGCCACACUGGGACUGAGACACGGCCCAGACUCCUACGGGAGGCAGCAGUGGGGAAUAUUGCACAAUGGGCGCAAGCCUGAUGCAGCAACGCCGCGUGAGGGAUGACGGCCUUCGGGUUGUAAACCUCUUUU